This 440-nucleotide ribosomal RNA is filed under the name uncultured bacterium. RNAcentral describes it as "partial 16S ribosomal RNA". It matches the Rfam family "Bacterial small subunit ribosomal RNA", at positions 339 to 795 of the family's 1533-position model. The record is from RNAcentral.
CUACGGGCCGCUGCAGUAAGGAAUAUUGCACAAUGGGGGAAACCCUGAUGCAGUAACUCCGCGUGAUCGAUGAAGCUUUUCGGAGUGUAAAGAUCUUUUCUGAAGGAAUAAUUCUGAAGGUACUUCAGGAAUAAGCACCGGCUAAUUACGUGCCAGCAGCCGCGGUAAUACGUAAGGUGCAAGCGUUAUCCGGAAUCAUUGGGCGUAAAGCGUUCGUAGGCGGUUUAUUAAGUCAGAUAUUAAAUCUUAAGGCUCAACCUUAAAAUCGUAUCUGAAACUGGUAAACUAGAGAAAUGCAGGGGUACAUGGAAUUCUGUAUGGAGGGGUAAAAUCCGUAGAUAUACAGAGGAACACCAAAAGCGAAGGCGGUGUACUGGGCAUUUUCUGACGCUGAGGAACGAAAGCGUGGGUAGCGAACGGGAUUAGAUACCCCCGUAGUC